RNAcentral lists this non-coding RNA (122 nucleotides) under Novosphingobium pentaromativorans. RNAcentral describes it as "Glycine sequence". It matches the Rfam family "Glycine riboswitch aptamer". From Rfam's summary of the family: This family represents the bacterial glycine riboswitch. The record is from RNAcentral. RNAcentral also lists the same sequence under 1 other name. Lineage: Bacteria; Pseudomonadati; Pseudomonadota; Alphaproteobacteria; Sphingomonadales; Sphingomonadaceae.
UAGUGACGCUCUGGAAAGUGCCCCGUCCAUUUCGGAUGUGGCCGCCGAAGGUGUAAGCCCGGAUACCCUGCUGCAGGGUGGCCGGGGCAAAGCUCUCAGGCUUCCGUGACAGAGGGGGCACC